Molecule: long non-coding RNA, 165 nt
Organism: Chelonia mydas (Green sea turtle)
Lineage: Eukaryota; Metazoa; Chordata; Testudines; Cheloniidae
Exons: 4
Source: RefSeq, a predicted model, not a curated record
UCCUGGACACGGGGUAAAAUUAAGCUGGUGGGCCGUACCAGGGUGGAUCAGCUUCCCCAGGCAUGAUUUAAAGGGCUUGCGGCUCCCAGCAGUGGCUGGAGCCCCCGGUCCUUUAAAUUGCUGCCAGAGCCCUGCUGCCGGAGCCCUGGGGUAGCGGUGGUGGGG